AGAGUUUGAUCCUGGCUCAGGACGAACGCUGGCGGCGUGCCUAACACAUGCAAGUCGAGCGGGGAUGUGGAUUAGCUUGCUAAGAAGCAUUCUAGCGGCGGACGGGUGAGUAACGCGUGAGCAACCUGCCUCAAACAGGGGGAUAACGCAUCGAAAGAUGUGCUAAUACCGCGUAAGACCACAGCUUCACAUGGAGCAGAGGUCAAAGGAGCAAUCCGGUUUGAGAUGGGCUCGCGUCCGAUUAGCUAGUUGGUGAGAUAACAGCCCACCAAGGCGACGAUCGGUAGCCGACCUGAGAGGGUGAUCGGCCACAUUGGAACUGAGAUACGGUCCAGACUCCUACGGGAGGCAGCAGUGGGGAAUAUUGGGCAAUGGGCGAAAGCCUGACCCAGCAACGCCGCGUGAGGGAAGAAGGGUUUCGGCUCGUAAACCUCUGUCCUAUGGGACGAAGGAAGUGACGGUACCAUAGGAGGAAGCCCCGGCUAACUACGUGCCAGCAGCCGCGGUAAUACGUAAGGGGCGAGCGUUGUCCGGAAUGAUUGGGCGUAAAGGGCGCGUAGGCGGCCUGCUAAGUCUGGAGUGAAAGUCCUGCUUUCAAGGUGGGAAUUGCUUUGGAUACUGGUAGGCUGGAGUGCAGGAGAGGAAAGCGGAAUUACCGGUGUAGCGGUGAAAUGCGUAGAGAUCGGUAGGAACACCAGUGGCGAAGGCGGCUUUCUGGACUGUAACUGACGCUGAGGCGCGAAAGCGUGGGGAGCAAACAGGAUUAGAUACCCUGGUAGUCC
This 782-nucleotide ribosomal RNA is filed under the name uncultured bacterium. RNAcentral describes it as "bacterial SSU rRNA". It matches the Rfam family "Bacterial small subunit ribosomal RNA", at positions 8 to 796 of the family's 1533-position model. The record is from RNAcentral.